GCUUCGCGGCCGGCUGAAAUAUUUUUUUCACCCAUGUCUUUUGCGCACUUGUUGUUUCCUGGGAAGGUUCGCCAGCCACCAGGACCAAACCAUAAACCUUUUUUUUAUGCAGUUGCAAUCAGCGUCAGUAAAAACAAUGUAAUUAUUACAACUUUCAACAACGGAUCUCUUGGUUCUGGCAUCGAUGAAGAACGCAGCGAAAUGCGAUACGUAGUGUGAAUUGCAGAAUUCAGUGAAUCAUCGAAUCUUUGAACGCACAUUGCGCCCUUUGGUAUUCCAAAGGGCAUGCCUGUUCGAGCGUCAUUUGUACCUUCAAGCUUUGCUUGGUGUUGGGCGUUUUUUGUCUCCCUCUUUCUGGGAGACUCGCCUUAAAACGAUUGGCAGCCGGCCUACUGGUUUCGGAGCGCAGCACAUAUUUUGCGCUUUGUAUCAGGAGAAAAGGACGGUAAUCCAUAAAGACUCUACAUUUUUAUCUAUUGACGUCCGAUCAGGUAGGGAUGCCCGCUGAACUCAAACGUAUCACUAAG
This 527-nucleotide ribosomal RNA is filed under the name Bipolaris sorokiniana. Its description in RNAcentral is "eukaryotic LSU rRNA". The stretch from base 150 to 303 matches the Rfam family "5.8S ribosomal RNA". Lineage: Eukaryota; Fungi; Ascomycota; Dothideomycetes; Pleosporales; Pleosporaceae. The record is from RNAcentral.